RNAcentral lists this ribosomal RNA (496 nucleotides) under uncultured bacterium. Its description in RNAcentral is "partial 16S ribosomal RNA". It matches the Rfam family "Bacterial small subunit ribosomal RNA", at positions 28 to 506 of the family's 1533-position model. The record is from RNAcentral.
GAUGAACGCUGGCGGCGUGCCUAAUACAUGCAAGUCGAGCGAACAGACGAGGAGCUUGCUCCUCUGACGUUAGCGGCGGACGGGUGAGUAACACGUGGAUAACCUACCUAUAAGACUGGGAUCACUUCGGGAAACCGGAGAUAAUACCGGAUAAUAUAUUGAACCGCAUGGUUCAUUAGUGAAAGACGGUUUUGCUGUCACUUAUAGAUGGAUCCGGGCUGCAUUAGCUAGUUGGUAAGGUAACGGCUUACCAAGGCGACGAUGCGUAGCCGACCUGAGAGGGGGAUCGGCCACACGGGAACUGAGACACGGUCCAGACUCCUACGGGAGGCAGCAGUAGGGAAUCUUCCGCAAUGGGCGAAAGCUUGACGGAGCAACGCCGGGUGAGUGAUGAAGGUCUUCGGAUCGUAAAACGCUGUUAUUAGGGAAGAACAAAUGUGUAAGUAACUAUGCACGUCUGGACGGUACCUAAUCAGAAAGCCACGGCUAACUACGG